This 413-nucleotide ribosomal RNA is filed under the name uncultured prokaryote. Its description in RNAcentral is "bacterial SSU rRNA". It matches the Rfam family "Bacterial small subunit ribosomal RNA", at positions 505 to 918 of the family's 1533-position model. The record is from RNAcentral.
GUGCCAGCCGCCGCGGUAAUACGGAGGGGGCUAGCGUUGUUCGGAAUUACUGGGCGUAAAGCGCACGUAGGCGGACUGUUAAGUCGGGGGUGAAAUCCCGGGGCUCAACCCCGGAACUGCCUUCGAUACUGGCAGUCUAGAGUUCUGGAGAGGUGAGUGGAAUUCCGAGUGUAGAGGUGAAAUUCGUAGAUAUUCGGAGGAACACCAGUGGCGAAGGCGGCUCACUGGCCAGAUACUGACGCGGAGGUGCGAAAGCGUGGGGAGCAAACAGGAUUAGAUACCCUGGUAGUCCACGCCGGAAACGAUGAGGGCUAGUUGUCGGGCGGCUUGCCGUUCGGUGACGCACCUAACGGAUUAAGCAUUCCGCCUGGGGAGUACGGCCGCAAGGUUAAAACUUAAAGGAAUUGACGGGG